CUCUACUAAAGAUACAAAAAGUUAGCUGAGUGUGGUAGUGUGCGCCUGUAAUCCCAGCUAGUUGGGAGGCUGAGACUAGAAAAUUGCUUGAACCCGGGAGGUGUAGUGCAAAUAACACUGCACUCUAGCCUGGGUGACAGAGCAAGACUCCAUCUCAAAAAAAGGAAAAAAGAAACCAUUGGGAUCUCUAAGAGUGUUUUCUCUCUUGGGUCCAGUUGUUUCAGAGGAGAAAGGGCAUCAUGAGUGACCAGGGUCCAAGUUAUCAUUCUAUUUUUCAGUAGGACUGGAAUUUUGGCAACACAGAACCCUGUGAUGUCUGGAGGAAACCAGUUCCUCAAAGCUCACUGCCUUUCCUCUAUUCCCAGCUCCGCUCUGCAUUGGACAAAACAGAAGAGCUCGAGAGGAUAUGUACCACUGCCCACUUGGGGGCAGACAAGUUACAGGAGGCUGGGGUCCAACACUGGCAAGAAGGAAACCACGGGUCAGGACAGAAAUUUUAUGAGGUAGAUGCUGUUAUGAAAUCCACAUUACAGAUGAGGGAACCAGGGCCCAGGAAGGUUCACUGGCCAGAAGUCUCAGCUGGUAAGUACGGGGCUGCAAGGCAUCAAUUCCCAGCCGUCUCACUGCCCUGAGAGGAUGGCGUUUUUGCUGGGCGUGGUGGCUCACGCCUGUAAUCCCAGCAAUUUGGGAGGCUGAGGCAGGCAGUUGGGACUUGAGGUUUUUUUUCAUGUGUCUUGCUGAAGAUUAAGGGGAAAUGUUACAGUGUUGGGACUUCCUGUCAUGGCAGAAUCUACAAUUUGAGCGACUUCAGUAGUAUCUCUUAGUCUAU
RNAcentral lists this long non-coding RNA (829 nucleotides) under Aotus nancymaae (Ma's night monkey). RNAcentral describes it as "lncRNA (ENSANAG00000039474.1)". The record is from RNAcentral. Lineage: Eukaryota; Metazoa; Chordata; Mammalia; Primates; Aotidae.